RNAcentral lists this ribosomal RNA (468 nucleotides) under uncultured bacterium. RNAcentral describes it as "partial 16S ribosomal RNA". It matches the Rfam family "Bacterial small subunit ribosomal RNA", at positions 28 to 507 of the family's 1533-position model. The record is from RNAcentral.
GACGAACGCUGGCGGCGUGCUUAACACUUGCAAGUCGAACGGAAAGGCCCUGCUUUUGUGGGGUGCUCGAGUGGCGAACGGGUGAGUAACACGUGAGUAACCUGCCCUUGACUUUGGGAUAACUUCAGGAAACUGGGGCUAAUACCGGAUAGGAGCUCCUGCUGCAUGGUGGGGGUUGGAAAGUUUCGGCGGUUGGGGAUGGACUCGCGGCUUAUCAGCUUGUUGGUGGGGUAGUGGCUUACCAAGGCUUUAACGGGUAGCCGGCCUGAGAGGGUGACCGGCCACAUUGGGACUGAGAUACGGCCCAGACUCCUACGGGAGGCAGCAGUGGGGAAUAUUGCACAAUGGGCGGAAGCCUGAUGCAGCAACGCCGCGUGCGGGAUGACGGCCUUCGGGUUGUAAACCGCUUUCGCCUGUGACGAAGCGUGAGUGACGGUAAUGGGUAAAGAAGCACCGGCUAACUACGUG